AUGGAGGUCGAGAAAGGACGCAAUAUAUCACGGAUCGGAGGAGAUGGAUGGGCUCGUUUCCUUGCCCACAUGCGUCUUACUGGUGGUGAGUUGAUCAGCUUCUCCUUCAGAGCAGAAAGACCCAAGUUGGCUGUCAUUUAUAUCAACCUGGUGGAAGAUGAUGAAGAUGACGAAGAUGAUGAAGAUAAUGAGGACCCACUCAAUGAAGAUGAUGAUGACCCACUUCAUGAAGCCAUCGUAGCUCAAAGAAUGAGGCUGAGCGAGGAGGAGGUGUGCAACCUAUGGGAGAUAAUUCCGCCACGUGCUGACUUUGUCAGGGUGCCAUUCGUGACCCGCCUGACAAGUACCAUGGUCGAUCGACAUGAUAUGAUCGAAAAAGGAGGACAAGGAAUGAGUUCGGGAAAUGGUGGGAAUCCCUGGUUCUCCAGUUCUUUACAGGCACCGUCAUGGGAUGUGCAUGGUUGUGACGAGCUAAACUCAACUAGCCCUUUGUUGCCACUACUACAGCAGUACUUGGACGCAGGGGCUCCGAACGCAGCUACUGCCACUUGGGGAGCACUGGCUAUGCCAGAGUCGCACGCAUACCAGAAUUCUCAACCAAACUACACUGAGCAGAUUGUCAUUCGCAAGGCAGGCAUGUCAAGAACCAGAAGAAACAGUAGUCUUGAAUCAGAUGUGAACAACUCAAGAGCAGAUGACUCAAACUCGGAUGCGGAGACAAUUGGUGAACAUGAGGAUGAAGAUGAACAAGCUGAUGACCAGGGAGAGGGUGAGACACAUGAGCAUGAGUGUGAAUAA
This 798-nucleotide ribosomal RNA is filed under the name Triticum aestivum (bread wheat). RNAcentral describes it as "partial small subunit ribosomal RNA". The record is from RNAcentral. Lineage: Eukaryota; Viridiplantae; Streptophyta; Magnoliopsida; Poales; Poaceae.